UGAAAAUACAGAUCUUUGUUCCACCAAUGGGUAGGAAGACAAGACCAGAGGAUGGGAUUUUUCUUUACUUUUUUUAAGUCAACAAAUUGAACCUCUGAUUGGCUCAAUGAACCAUUUAAAAGUUAAGUCUCUAAUUCCAAGCCCCUUUGUUCUGCUGUGGCAGAAAGAAGUGAUAAGGAAAGAAUUAUACCAGACCUCUUUGUGGAACUAAGCCAGACCUUGAUUUUCCCACAUGAUUGGAUCCUAUCUCAUUAAGAAUCUAAAUACACUAUAAUGUAGCAAAGGCUGCAAUUCUAAGAGAGUAAUCAGAGGUAGAAUUUUUCAGAUUGAAAGAAUAUCCAGGUGUUUAGAAAAUCUCAUAAGUCAUAUACACAUAUAGUCAGACAUUCCCUUAGCACGGUUUGCUGACAUUUAACAAAGGAACUUCAGGUUGUUAUUUAUCUUUCAACUACUUUUAAAACGUGUUGAGUACCUACUCUGUGCCAGAUACUGUUCUACCUUCAUGAAGCUCAGCCUUGUUGAAUAGAUACAUAAGCAGUCAUUCUCCCUGGACUAUGGUAGGUGCCCUUACUCUGUGGCCUUUCACACUGUGUUUACCUGAUCCGCAUACCUGUUGCAUUGAAGUUGCCUGUUACUUGUGUCUUCCCUUAGAUGCUGUGCUCUUCUAGGACACAGCCUAUGACCUGUUCACCAUUAUAUCCCCAGCUCUGGCUCAAUGUUGAAUUCACACUGAGUGCUCAGUGAUCCUGUUGAAUGAGUGAAUGCAAUAUGCUACAUGCAAUUAUAGAAGCAUGGCACAGCAUCAAGAAAGUAAAGAGGCAGCAACAAAUUAAUUUAAUUCCUGUGCUUCAUGUUGCAAAUUAUUCUUUAAAAGCAAAAAAAUAAUAAUUUCAUUCUAAAGGUCUCACCUUAAAAAACUCUAGAAUAUUAAAUCUUCAAACUUGUCAGAAUUUGGAUAAUUUUCAAAAAGAGCAAAUUAAGUUUUAAUGAAGUGAUAUAAAUUAAUAUUUUAAAGUUCUAAGAAAACUCAUGUAAGGAGAUUAUAUUUUCUAAAUAUUUACUCAAUAUUGGUUACAAAGUCCUUUCACACAGAUAACAAUUAAGCAACAAUAAAAUUGGGAAAUAAAGUAAAAAAUCACCUAUAAUUCCACUAUCUUAAAACAUGAAUUGUUUUAUCUGUUCUUAGUUCACAUCUAUUUACAUUCAUGAAUUUUACUUAGCUUUAAAUGUAGCAUGAAUAUAGUUUUGCAUUUUUAUUUUUGUUUACAAGAAUUCAUAUGUCUUUUAGAGACUAUAAACCUUAUAAGGUGAGGAUUUCUAACCACAGAAUCCUAGAUUAGGAAUCAAAAGUUAUAAUUUCGUUUUAUGUUUAUCAUUACAACAAGAUCUGGGCUAAAAGUAAUUCAUUUUAUGGAAUGACUUGUAUUGGAAGAAUCUGAUAUAGGAUAUUAAAUUUAUUCAUUUCUUUUUUUCUGAAUGAAAAAUCAGCACACAAAAAAAGUAGCUUCUGGGAAAUCCCAUUAUGUCUGGUCAUGUAUGAGAAGUAUCUCUUCUUAUCCACAGGUACCUUCUGAAUACCUCCACAUGGUCCCAGUGCAUUGAACCCAAACACGUCGUGGAAUGGAAUGUAACUCUGUUUUCUAUCCUCUUGGCUCUUGGCGGAAUUGAAUUUAUCUUGUGUCUCAUUCAAGUAAUAAAUGGAAUGCUUGGAGGUAUAUGUGGCUUUUGCGGCUUUCGCAAACAGCGAUAUGACUGCUAAAAGAACCACCCCAAGACAGAACCACAAUUUUGCUCUAUUUCAUUGUAAUUUAUAUAUUUUACUUGUAUUAAUUUGUAAAACUUUGUACUAGUGUAUCAUACUCCGCAUAUUCUACUUUUAUAAAGGUGUAUAAAGACUGGCACCUUCACGUGAUGUUAGAGUUUGAACUUAGCAAACAAACUUUUUUUUAAGGAAUGAGCAAGCAAACCACACUCUGGAAGUAAUUUACAGACUGGGUGACAGUCCUUAGCAUAUUGGAGAUAAACCCUAUAAUGUUGUGAUGAAAAUCACAUCCCAGUUACUAUUGUAUAUAUGUGUGUGUAUUUUUUAAAUGAAAGAUGUCUAAUUGCUUUUUUUUGAGACCAAGAAGGAGAAAAUCCAACAACAUGCAGAGCUGUGUUUUUUUCACUGUUUAUAUGGUGUUUCCCAUUCAUAUGGCUACAAAUCUCUAACAAGAGGCCUUUUGAAGUGCUUUGAGUUCUGUGAGAGACGAAUACUUGCCCAGGAUGGGAAGAUUAAUUGGGAAUGCUCCAACCCAAAUGAGUGAGCCAGAGCAGGCAGUGCUGCUAGAUCCUAGACUUUUCUAACACGUGGACAAGCACUAAGGAUCAUGUGUUUAAAAAGAAAAAGGCUGGGAGAACUGGACAAGAAGAUGGGAAACGGAAUAAAGCAGUUGAUCAGCAUCACAGGAAAAUGGGGAAGGGGAAGUGAGGGCAGGAGGGGACCAUGAGGAAAUAGCCCCAGAACUUGCUUGUUUAUGACAAAAUAAAAUAUUUACUACCAUU
Molecule: long non-coding RNA, 2544 nt
Organism: Galeopterus variegatus (Sunda flying lemur)
Lineage: Eukaryota; Metazoa; Chordata; Mammalia; Dermoptera; Cynocephalidae
Exons: 2
Source: RefSeq, a predicted model, not a curated record